Molecule: long non-coding RNA, 280 nt
Organism: Choloepus didactylus (southern two-toed sloth)
Lineage: Eukaryota; Metazoa; Chordata; Mammalia; Pilosa; Megalonychidae
Exons: 3
Source: RefSeq, a predicted model, not a curated record
GGCAAAACAAGGUAUGUAUUUAAACAAGAAUUUUGAUGUGUUCAGUGACAUUUACACAAUCAUGAGUUUGCUAUUGAGGAGGAAAUUCUAAAGUGCAUGAAAAGUACCCCAGACCCAUUUGUUGCAGGUCCUUGGCAUCUUCAGUUUCUUUCCUGUGGUCUAUUAUCCGACAAGCCAACCUUGAUUAAGGUUUCAGUUGGACUGUCUUCAUAACUUGGUCUCAGCUAUGAACUGCCUUGUUCAUAGCUUCAUCCGUUCCAGGAUCUCAGUCUCCCUUGAG